CAGCAGCCACGGGAAUACGUAGGGUGCAAGCGUUAAUCGGAAUUACUGGGCGUAAAGCGCACGUGGGCGGCUUUACAAGUCAGAGGUGAAAGCCUGGAGCUCAACUCCAGAAUUGCCUUUGAGACUGUAUCGCUUGAACACGGGAGAGGUGAGUGGAAUUCCGAGUGUAGAGGUGAAAUUCGUAGAUAUUCGGAAGAACACCAGUGGCGAAGGCGGCUCACUGGACCGUUGUUGACGCUGAGGUGCGAAAGCGUGGGGAGCAAACAGGAUUAGAUACCCCCGUAGUCCCUGUCUCUUAUAC
Molecule: ribosomal RNA, 301 nt
Filed under: uncultured bacterium
Lineage: Bacteria
Description: partial 16S ribosomal RNA
Rfam family: Bacterial small subunit ribosomal RNA
Source: RNAcentral